GCGAAAAGAACCCCUGUGAGGGGAGUGAAAUAGAUCCUGAAACCGCAUGCAUACAAGCAGUGGGAGCACCUUCGUGGUGUGACUGCGUACCUUUUGUAUAAUGGGUCAGCGACUUAUAUUCAGUAGCAAGGUUAACCGUAUAGGGGAGCCGUAGAGAAAUCGAGUCUUAAUAGGGCGUUUAGUUGCUGGGUAUAGACCCGAAACCAGGCGAUCUAUCCAUGAGCAGGUUGAAGGUUGGGUAACACUAACUGGAGGACCGAACCCACUGUCGUUGAAAAGCCAGGGGAUGACUUGUGGAUAGGGGUGAAAGGCUAAUCAAGCCUGGUGAUAGCUGGUUCUCCCCGAAAGCUAUUUAGGUAGCGCCUCGGACGAAUACCAUAGGGGGUAGAGCACUGUUUCGGCUAGGGGGUCAUCCCGACUUACCAAACCGAUGCAAACUCCGAAUACCUAUGAGUACUAUCCGGGAGACAGACUGCGGGUGCUAACGUCCGUAGUCAAGAGGAAAACAAUCCAGACCGCCAGCUAAGGCCCCAAAAUCAUAGUUAAGUGGGAAACGAUGUGGGAAGGCAUAGACAGCUAGGAGGUUGGCUUAGAAGCAGCCACCCUUUAAAGAAAGCGUAAUAGCUCACUAGUCGAGUCGGCCUGCGCGGAAGAUGUAACGGGGCUAAAACUAUGUGCCGAAGCUGCGGAUUUGACAUUAGUCAAGUGGUAGGGGAGCGUUCUGUAAGCCGAUGAAGGUGUAUUGAGAAGUAUGCUGGAGGUAUCAGAAGUGCGAAUGCUGACGUGAGUAACGACAAAACGGGUGAAAAACCCGUUCGCCGAAAGACCAAGGGUUCCAGUCCAACGUUAAUCGGGGCUGGGUGAGUCGACCCCUAAGG
Molecule: ribosomal RNA, 878 nt
Filed under: Acinetobacter baumannii
Lineage: Bacteria; Pseudomonadati; Pseudomonadota; Gammaproteobacteria; Moraxellales; Moraxellaceae
Description: partial 23S ribosomal RNA
Rfam family: Bacterial large subunit ribosomal RNA
Source: RNAcentral